Leopardus geoffroyi (Geoffroy's cat) is the source of this 1896-nucleotide long non-coding RNA. RefSeq lists it as uncharacterized. NCBI's taxonomy places the organism in Eukaryota, Metazoa, Chordata, Mammalia, Carnivora, Felidae. The transcript has 3 exons. The record is from RefSeq and is a predicted model, not a curated record.
ACCAUGUUCUGACCAAUGAAAAGUAAGCAGAAUUCUCUUGGGGAACUUGGGGAGAGUAAAGCUGAAGAUAAAAGCUCCCGAUGCUAUUCUUUCUCUUUAACUUAAACAGAGAAGUCACCUUGUGACCAAGAGGUAACAAGCCUGACAGCAAAAAGCCAAGACGCUUAGGAAGUGAGAGGGCAAAUGAAGAGAACCGUGUCUUUGAUGGCAUCACUGAGCUAUGGGAACAACUCCAGGACCACCUACAUCCAGACUACUGGUUAGGUAAACAAUAAAUGUCUUUAUGGCUUAAGUCCCUGUUACUUGCCACCAUAAGCAUUCUUCAGCAAUCCAGAAAGUGACGUCUGGGAUGCAGGUAAGAGAAAUCUGCCCGCAGCAAUGGCUGGUUUAUUCUUUUGAAGCUGUGCCCCAUAGACUAAAGAGGGGAAAGCACAGUGCUUUAUUUAUUUAAAUAUAAUUUACUGUCAACUUGGCUAACAUACAGUGUGCUCUUAGUUUUGGGGGUAGAUCCCCAUGAUUCAUCCCUUACAUACAACACUGUGCUUUCUGAUGUCUGGGAGCUAUUGCAGCCGCUUCCUUGAGAAUGGCACCCGGGGCUCAGGACAAUGAUAUUAAUGAUAGUUAAUAAACAGAGCAAGAACACAAACAGUUGGCUCUUAGAGUUCAGUGAAACACAGUGUAAGUAUAAGGCAGACAGUAGGAGAGCAAAAACAUGGUUUUUUUUUUUCCACAUCCCGUGUUUCCCUCUAUGGUUUAGUCUGUCCACACUCAUGGGUUUAGAAGUAUGUCCCCCAGCUCAAAGUCUGGAUGGUUUCUCUCUUGAGGAGCAUGCCCAUUUGUAUUUCAAAUUUGCAUUGGUGUAUUGGAGGGAUCUAUGGGCGGGGGCAGAGGUCUGCCAGGGGAUAACUAGUAUAUGACUGUGUGGGGUGGGUUACUUUCUCCCUUAGGAAGUUCACGACCAAGGUGGAUCUCCACUGUGCAACAGAGUUCCUAAUAACGUAAACCGCCAGCUGACCAGAUUGGCUAAGUGGUGUCCUGUCCCUACCUGGCUUGAUUACCAAACUAGCUGGAUGUUUAGGAGGGAGGUAUAUGUGUUUCUUUCCAGAAAACAUUCCUAUGCAGAGCACAGCCAGACUGGCCUCAAAAGUGAGCUGACAAACUAGAAAAACUGGGUUUAUUAUACUUCGGAGUUGUUCCUUAAAUGAUAACCGUGACUAACAGGCAUCAGUUGGCUUUUUCUGGUUUAACUGAAAAGCAAAUGGUAUAUUAAGCUUAACUUUGUUGUAUUUUUCUUCUUAUGCUAGAGAUUUAAGCUCCCUCAUUUCUGGUCUAUUAUUUUGUAAAUACCAAUCAAUCUAUCUGUUUUUGCUUGAAACUUGAUUUCUUCAAGUACACUCAUUCAGCAGGUAUAUAUUGUGUGUCUUCAUAUGAGUGAGAGAGUCUAGGUGUGUGGGUGUAAGAGAGACAGAAGGAGGGGGGCGGUGGGGAGUAUGCGAGGGAGAGAGAGGAUGAGCACAGCAUCCUUUCAGGAGCCCUGUAUCCAGAAAUGAAAACCAUGAAUGGGCUCUAGUGCAUGAAACUGAGGUUCAAUUGGAUUAGGAAAAGUACUCUAAAAACACUGAAAGGCUCUGUUGCCAGGCACACUGCUGGCUGGAGAAUGCGGAACAAAGAUAAAAUUGUCAGAACAUCCUGUCUCCACCUACACCAGGAAGGUCAAGUCUAAGAUGCUUGUCCAAGGGCUCAGGCAAUCAGAAGAUUGGAAGCAACGUAUUAAUAAGAGAACAUGCCCCGAAGCUCUGGCCCAUGAAAACAGCUCCUGAAUCACAAUGUAGCCACAACCUGAAGUUCACCAUGGACAGAAAGAACCAGCUAUGCCUGCCACCUGAAAAAGAUGGA